AGCUUGGUGCAGUGGCAAUAUCGUAGCCAAUGAGGUUUAUCCAAGGCACGACUAUUGCUAAUUGAAAACUAAAUACAGUGUUUCCAAUGAAAAUGUAGUAUCCAAAUUGGAAUGCAUGGUGUAAAAUAAACCAGAUUU
Zalophus californianus (California sea lion) is the source of this 138-nucleotide small nuclear RNA. Its record names the gene U4. It matches the Rfam family "U4 spliceosomal RNA". From Rfam's summary of the family: U4 small nuclear RNA (U4 snRNA) is a component of the major U2-dependent spliceosome. The structure of U4 snRNA from yeast and human has been reported. The record is from Ensembl. Lineage: Eukaryota; Metazoa; Chordata; Mammalia; Carnivora; Otariidae.